UGAGGUCACAUGGCCAGCCUUGCCUGGCAGCCUGGAUGAUCUGCUCUGAGUCACUCCUCUGUGCCUGCACUUCAGCUUCCUCCACAGUACAGGGACAAAAACAUGUGCCUUUCCACCCUGUUGUGAGCAAGCCAGAACAAGAGGAAAGACAGCUGACCGCUCGGGCUAUGUCUCCAAGUUUUACGUGUGCACUUGAGUAUGUAUAAGUGUGUGUAAACACCCAUGUCUCUAAGCUCCCCACUGGUGACUGAGUUCCCAGGCUGCUCCAGUGGGGCGCCAGUACCCUCUGCUCAGAGGCACAGCAGGUGCUGUAGUGGUUCAGGAGAGGUGGCCCCUGACCACAGGCAGGAAGGAUGUGAAGCAGUUUCAUUGUGGCCAGCCCUCAGCAGGGACUAUGGAGGAUCACUCCGCGGAAUCUGUCUAGCAAGACCAAGGCGCAUGUUAAUGGAACCUGGCCUCUAGCUGAAGGGAGAUGAGAAGAGGUUCUGAGAUCCAGGCUUAGUAUCCAGCCUGGUGCAAGUGAGCCCCAUGCCUUUCUGCUCCCGCCACUGGCCCCUUACAUUGUGGCUACAAACUCACUGUCAGCAUUCAGCAAUGGCUCUGCAUACAAUGGCUAGCGUUUUGAUGAUCCCCUGGGACACCCUGCCUUGAACUCAGCAGCUGGCCUGACUCACUGGCCCUGAGUGUAGCUGCCUGCUCCUGUGACUGGAUGGAGUGUGCUCUGCCUUGGCUCUCCACCACACCAUCCUAACUCUCUUUGAGAAUCCAGAGACUUGCCUUCCACCAUAUCCAAGACUUACCCCAGGACUACCUAUCCUAGCCUGUGCUAACCUGUUUGUCCUCUGACCCAGGGUCAAGGUUUCAGGUUUUCAUUCUGUCCUUGUAGCUCCUAAGUAGAGGUCCCAGCAAAGCUGGGGACACUUCUCAGAGGGAACUACUUCCUGGGUGACGCUGGGUCAUGCACAAGGAGAGACAGACACCAUGGGGACCUCCAGGCUGCAGAGGGCACGGGAAGGCCUAGAGAGGAGCUGGGGGCUGAAGCAAAUCCCUCCUUUUCUAAGUUCAGCCUUGAGAACUUAAGAAUAGAGUGGUUAUUUCUCUGGCUGCGGGACAGGAGCUCUCUGUCCCCACUGGGAGAAGCAGCAGGGCCCAGCAAGGGAGGUGGGCGGCAGCUGCUCUGUUUUGCUCCAUCUGCCUUUGUCUAUUCCAACAAGGAGGGUGUGUUUGUUUAAAGAUGUCUCUUUUGGCAGCAGAAGUCUGUCUCCAAGCAAAAACACAGGAGUGUGGGCAAGGAGGACGAAGUCUCUCCACCGGGAAAGUCUUUCCUCUUCCCAAAUGACCCGGAAGUCUGCCUUCACUGAGUGACUGAAACCCCGAGAGGGCAUACUAUGGUCCCCACACUUGGGUUCCCAGACCAGGGUCAGGGCCAGCUGGCUGCUGGAAUUCCACACCAAGGGAGUCCUGGUGUCUCCAUGCUAAUCAGGAACUCCAGGAUUUGGGUCUUUGUAUUCCGAAUCAAGUCACCACAAACACAGCAGCUAGCCAUCACAAAGAUUUGUUCUUGUCGAGUUCUACAAGUCAUGUCGGAAGACCAAGCCUGCAGACGGCUGGGCUGAGCUCCUUCCAUGGCUCUAGGGAAGGGUCUGUUCUGCCUCCUCAUUCAUUUUCUGGCAGCCCACGGUGGUCCUUGACUGGUAUCAGAAUCAUUGCUAUUUCGCCUCUACCUUCACCAGGCUUCUCUCUACGAAUCUGUUUACACAGUCACCCUCUUUCAAAGACAUCGGAUAGAGUAAGCUUAGUGGUCCCGGGCAGGGCUUG
Mus musculus (house mouse) is the source of this 1818-nucleotide long non-coding RNA. RefSeq annotates it as predicted gene, 41564. The transcript is spliced from 3 exons. The record is from RefSeq and is a predicted model, not a curated record. Lineage: Eukaryota; Metazoa; Chordata; Mammalia; Rodentia; Muridae.